This 1530-nucleotide ribosomal RNA is filed under the name Triticum aestivum (bread wheat). RNAcentral's name for it is "partial small subunit ribosomal RNA". The record is from RNAcentral. Lineage: Eukaryota; Viridiplantae; Streptophyta; Magnoliopsida; Poales; Poaceae.
AUGUCGAAUGCGCGUGGCGGGCUGGAUUUCCGCGUUCUGUACCCAUGUGACCUCCUCCUCCCUUCCUUCCUCACCUCCUCUCUCUCUCUCCCCCCAAAAAAGCCCCUCACCAAUACGGGUGAGACGGGACGAAUUGGGGACCGCGCCUCUAGCGGAUCGGCGCGGCGGUGGUCGCAGGGCAGGGGGAUGUCCACGCGGUCGAGGUCGGUGCAGGGCUCCGUGGGCGGCGGCGGCAGCACGGCUGGGGGCUCGGCCGUGCCGCUCGCCGUGCUUCUGCGGCGGGAGGUGGUCAGCGAGAGGACCGCCGCCGAGCGCCCGGAGCUCCAGCACGGCCUCUUCAGCCAAGCCAAGAAGGGCGAGGAUUUUGUCUUCCUCAAGCCCGACUGCGAGCGUCUCCCCGGCUUCCCGCCAUCCUCCUUCUCUGCCUUCGGCCUGUUUGAUGGGCACAAUGGGAAUGGAGCCGCUAUUUAUACAAAGGAGAAUCUCUUGAACAACAUCUUGGGUGCAGUCCCUGCUGAUCUCAACAGGGAGGACUGGCUUGCUGCGCUUCCAAGGGCGAUGGUUGCAGCAUUUGUCAAAACCGAUAAAGAUUUCCAAACAGUAGCACGCUCUUCAGGAACAACAGUGACAUUUGUCAUAAUAGAUGGAUUGGUUGUUACUGUUGCAUCUGUUGGUGAUUCGCGUUGUGUAUUAGAAGCUGAAGGUUCAAUUUAUCAGUUAUCUUCGGAUCAUCGUUUCGAUGCCAGUAAAGAGGAGGUUGAUCGUGUAACAGAAGCUGGAGGUGAUGUUGGAAGGCUAAAUGUUGUUGGUGGUGCUGAGAUUGGCCCCCUUAGAUGCUGGCCUGGGGGUUUGUGCCUGUCAAGGACAAUCGGAGAUCAGGACGUGGGUGAAUUUAUCGUUCCUGUUCCUCUCGUCAAGCAAGUAAAGUUAUCUACUGCUGGAGGCCGGCUUAUUAUUUCAAGCGAUGGUGUUUGGGAUGCUUUGACUGCAGAACAGGCUCUGAACUGUUCAAGAGGACUUCCUCCUGAAGCUGCAGCCGAGCAAAUUGUUAAAGACGCAGUGCACUCAAAGGGACUGAGGGAUGACACCACUUGUAUAGUCGUUGACCUAGUACCAGAAAAAGGCAACCCAGCUAUGUCAGCUCCUAAAAAGCAACCAGGAAUGGGUGUUUUCAAAAAUAUGUUUCGCAAGAAAACAUCUUCCGACUCAUCAUCCCAUGCAGAUAGAGAAUAUAUGGAUCCAGACGUUGUAGAAGAGAUAUUUGAGGAUGAAUGUGCAUUGCUCUCUAGACGGCUGGAUUCUGAAUACCCUGUUCGAAAUAUGUUCAAACUCUUUAUAUGUGCUAUUUGUCAAGUAGAGUUAAAGCCAAAUCAAGGGAUAUCUGUACAUGAAGAUUCAUCACAACCUGGGAACUUGCGUCGAUGGGAUGGUCCGUUCCUUUGCCAAAGCUGUCAGGAAAAAAAAGAAGCCAUGGAGGGAAAGCGCCGUUCACGAGAUUCGUCAUCGAGAAAUAGCGGGUCCAGUGAAUAG